This 253-nucleotide ribosomal RNA is filed under the name uncultured bacterium. RNAcentral describes it as "partial 16S ribosomal RNA". It matches the Rfam family "Bacterial small subunit ribosomal RNA", at positions 524 to 776 of the family's 1533-position model. The record is from RNAcentral.
UACGUAGGCCUCAAGCAUUAUCCGGAUUUAUUGGGCGUAAAGCGUGUGUAGGGGGCAUAGUGCGUUUUCUGUUAAAGCCCGCCGCCCAACGGCGGAGAUGCAGGAAAUACGACUAUGCUAGAAGGAGUUAGAGGUGCAUGGAACUCACGGUGUAGGGGUGAAAUCCGUUGAUAUCGUGGGGAACACCAAAGGCGAAGGCAGUGCACUGGGACUCUCUUGACCCUGAGACACGGAAGCGUGGGGAGCAAAAAGG